GUCGAGAAUAAUUCACAAUGGACGAAAGUCUGAUGGUGCAACGCCGCGUGGAGGAUGAAGGUCUUCGGAUUGUAAACUCCUGUCAUCGGGGAGUAAGACCUGGCGGUAAAUAGCCGACAGGGUUGAUAGUACCCGAAGAGGAAGGGACGGCUAACUUCGUGCCAGCAGCCGCGGUAAUACGAAGGUCCCAAGCGUUGUUCGGAAUCACUGGGCGUAAAGGGAGCGUAGGCGGCGUGGUAAGUCAGAUGUGAAAUCCCGGGGCUCAACCCCGGAACUGCACCCGAUACUGCCGUGCUAGAGGGUUGGAGAGGUGACUGGAAUUCUCGGUGUAGCAGUGAAAUGCGUGGAUAUCGAGAGGAACACUCGUGGCGAAGGCGAGUCACUGGACAACAUCUGACGCUGAGGCUCGAAGGCCAGGGGAGCAAAAGGGAUUAGAAACCCGUGUAGUCC
Molecule: ribosomal RNA, 450 nt
Filed under: uncultured bacterium
Lineage: Bacteria
Description: partial 16S ribosomal RNA
Rfam family: Bacterial small subunit ribosomal RNA
Source: RNAcentral